AUUGAACGCUGGCGGCAGGCCUAACACAUGCAAGUCGAGCGGUAGCACAGAGAGCUUGCUCUCGGGUGACGAGCGGCGGACGGGUGAGUAAUGUCUGGGAAACUGCCUGAUGGAGGGGGAUAACUACUGGAAACGGUAGCUAAUACCGCAUAACGUCACAAGACCAAAGAGGGGGACCUUCGGGCCUCUUGCCAUCAGAUGUGCCCAGAUGGGAUUAGCUAGUAGGUGGGGUAACGGCUCACCUAGGCGACGAUCCCUAGCCGGUCUGAGAGGAUGACCAGCCACACUGGAACUGAGACACGGUCCAGACUCCUACGGGAGGCAGCAGUGGGGAAUAUUGCACAAUGGGCGCAAGCCUGAUGCAGCCAUGCCGCGUGUAUGAAGAAGGCCUUCGGGUUGUAAAGUACUUUCAGCGGGGAGGAAGGUGUUGAGGUUAAUAACCUCGGCAAUUGACGUUACCCGCAGAAGAAGCACCGGCUAACUCCGUGCCAGCCGCCGCGGUAA
This 504-nucleotide ribosomal RNA is filed under the name uncultured bacterium. Its description in RNAcentral is "partial 16S ribosomal RNA". It matches the Rfam family "Bacterial small subunit ribosomal RNA", at positions 30 to 523 of the family's 1533-position model. The record is from RNAcentral.